RNAcentral lists this ribosomal RNA (395 nucleotides) under uncultured bacterium. RNAcentral describes it as "partial 16S ribosomal RNA". It matches the Rfam family "Bacterial small subunit ribosomal RNA", at positions 523 to 918 of the family's 1533-position model. The record is from RNAcentral.
AUACGUAGGGUGCAAGCGUUAAUCGGAAUUACUGGGCGUAAAGCGUGCGCAGGCGGUUUUGUAAGACCGGGGUGAAAUCCCCGGGCUCAACCUGGGAAAUGCCCUUGUUACUGCAAGGCUUGAGUGCGGGCGAGUGGGAUGGAAUUCCGCGUGUUGCAGUGAAAUGCGUAGACAUGCGGAGGAACACCGAUGGCGAAGGCAAUCCCCUGGGCCUGCACUGACGCUCAUGCACGAAAGCGUGGUGAGCAAACAGGAUUAGGUACCCUGGUAGUCCACGCCCUAAACGAUGUCAACUGGUUGUUGGGGAUUUAUUUUCUCAGUAACGAAGCUAACGCGUGAAGUUGACCGCCUGGGGAGUACGGCCGCAAGGUUAAAACUCAAAUGAAUUGGCGGGG